This 357-nucleotide ribosomal RNA is filed under the name uncultured Glomeromycotina. Its description in RNAcentral is "bacterial SSU rRNA". It matches the Rfam family "Eukaryotic small subunit ribosomal RNA", at positions 569 to 928 of the family's 1831-position model. Lineage: Eukaryota; Fungi; Glomeromycota. The record is from RNAcentral.
AGCAGCCGCGGUAAUUCCAGCUCCAAUAGCGUAUAUUAAAGUUGUUGCAGUUAAAAAGCUCGUAGUUGAAUUUCGGAAUCAGUACGCCGGUCAUGCUCCGGUAUGUACUAGUGUCACUGAUUCCUUCCUUCUGACGAACCGUCAUGCCAUUAAUUUAGUGUGACGGGGAAUCAGGACUGUUACUUUGAAAAAAUUAGAGUGUUUAAAGCAGGCUCGCGCUUGAACACAUUAAGCAUGGAAUAAUGAAAUAGGACGUUGAUUCUUAUUUUGUUGGUUUCUUAGAUCGACGUAAAUGAUUAAUAGGGAUAGUUGGGGGCAUUAGUAUUCAAUUGUUAAGAGGUGAAAUUCUUGGGUUUA